This 1714-nucleotide long non-coding RNA is filed under the name Mytilus galloprovincialis (Mediterranean mussel). The record is from RNAcentral. Lineage: Eukaryota; Metazoa; Mollusca; Bivalvia; Mytilida; Mytilidae.
CGGAAGCAAUUAUUUGCAUAUAAAUACGUUUUUCUGCAGAUUAUCUGAUAAAAAGAAGAACAAUUUAAAACUUAUGAAUAUAUAAAAUAAGUACAAUUUUAAUACACCAGAUUUGCUUCCCGAUGAAUAAUGACUGCUCACUGUUGCUUGAGGUCGACAUAUUUGCAAGCCAAAUCAUAAUUAAGAUUUGUUCAUAUAGUAUAUAUAUUUUUUUAUUGAUUUCAAACAACUUUCAAGAACUCAAUUAAUACGUUUUUGGCGUAAAAUCUAAUAAAAUGACGACAAAAUAAUACUUAUCUAUUUUGUGGCAGUCCAAUUGAAAGGCACCAGAUUUAUAUUUCGAUACAAUAAUAUCUGUUCAGCGAUGCUACAGGUCUUUUAAAUCUCUUUCCCGGGAUCAUUCGUUACAAAUCAAUAUCCAAUCUUCGUAUAACCUGGGAAAAGAUAAACACCAUGUUAUAUAUGAAACAGAACAAUUUAACGUCACAUAAUACGCAUUUUGAUAAAUAAUGUCUGUUCAGCGAUGCUGGAGGACAUUUUUGACAGAAAUAUCUUAAUACAGAUUUUUUCAUGGUUUCUAGACAGAUUUUAUUGUGUUUGAACUCCUUUUCCUAAAGUUAUUUAUGGGUAUUCUGCAUAUAAAAUAAAAAAAUGGAAGCAACAUUUAUUCUAAUGAAAUAUUCAAUAAUGCAUUACUGUGGAUUCAUUAUUAUUUGUUUGAUACUAUUUUUCGUGGAUUCGUCGGUACUGGUAAACCACGAAAUUUAAUGUUCAACGAAUGGCAAAUUUUCAAAAGGCUUGUAGGCUGACCUAUGCAAAACCAUGAAAUUAAAUAUCAUCGAACAAACAUGUUUUCCUUUAUUCACGAAAAUUGGUACCCAUCCAUGGUACAUACAUGAAUCAAAAGUAUUUACUGAACCAAUGGGAAUCUCGAAAAAGUAUCAGUCCAUAUCGACAUAUUUGAAAGCUAUAUCUUGAUAAAGAUAUGUUCACGGUUUCUAGAUAUUUUCAUUUGGUUGCAAACCACUUUUCCGGAAACAGUUAGUUGCAUUCACUUACGUAUGCAUCAUAUCGCUCAUCCGCUAUUCUUUUUGACGAAUAUGUGUUGAAUUGUGUUUGCAUGUUCUUGGUUGUAUUCCCGCGUCUAUGAAACGAUCAAUUAUAUCGUCAAAAAUAUCUUAUACGCAGAUAUAUGCGUUUGUUUCCUGAUUUGAGAGUUUGAUGUUAAGUUGCAGUACAUAUACCAUUUUCCUGAAGACGUUAUUUACAUCCUUUAGAUUCGAAUCUAUAUAAUCUAAAGAGGAUGAAGGAAGUAUUUAUGUACUUCAUUGUGAUUGGAUAAGAACAGAUUAACAACUAGACACACAGAGAUGAUAUUUUGAGUGUGUUUCCUGUAUAUGAAUGUGGAUUAAUUUGUGAAAAACUACGUGGCAAGAAAAAAAAAAAAAAAAACAAAAAAAAAAAAAAAAAAAAAAACAACAACAGGUUAAAUAUGAGAAAAAUUGUUACUGAUGUUCAAAAAUCAAUGUCUAAUUUACAUAAAAAAAUACUGAAUCGUAUAAAUUCCUUUGACGGAAAAGGCUUAAUAUAGUACGGCGACUAGACACAAUAUUGUUUAGAUUUAAUCGUCAAACAUACUAUAUGGCUAUAUUAUAUAUCAUUGGAUUAAAAAAAAUGAGUACUUUUGAAAUAUCGAUGUCGUAAAAAAAAAACC